RNAcentral lists this unclassified non-coding RNA (366 nucleotides) under Hevea brasiliensis (rubber tree). Lineage: Eukaryota; Viridiplantae; Streptophyta; Magnoliopsida; Malpighiales; Euphorbiaceae. The record is from RNAcentral.
UGUGAUUUGGUUUUAGGUGAUUAGUAAUUAGUCCUGAAUUUGGCCAUUCAUGGCCACAACUCUUUCAUAUAUCGUUGUAGGUAUGUACACUACAAAAUAUAUAGAUAUCAAGCUCCUGCUAUCGGAUCCAAUAAAACACAUCCGUUGCGAUUCUCGUGCGCUGCCACUCGCCGGAACUGAGCCUCUCCGUCGCAGGAAAAUUACGACAAUUAAUCCAGCAAGAAGUUUGUUGUCUGAAAUACCCCUAAUUAUCACAAAUCUUCGGCUUUGCUCAUGACAGAGAGCCGACUCGGUCGAGACUGGAAAGCUGCGCGCCGCCUUUGCUGGUGUGAAGACGGCCGAAUCAAAGCUGAUAAAGCUCUCUUG